UGUAAAAAUAAGUCGGUAGGUUUUAGAAUGAAGAAUUCAUGACUCAAGAGAAUGCUAGAGAAUAGAAGAGAUAUGUGAGUUCAUGUUUAAGUUUCCAUUAGACUAUCCUUCAAGACUACACGUGCUGGAAUUUGGCUGCGUAGCAAAUGAUUGUACAUAAAUUUGCACUCUGAAGACCUGCUACAGUUCUUUCUUAGGAACUGCAGAAGUUCAGAGCUCUCCUGGAAAAUGGAGAAGGACAUCCUGUAUUUAUUAAAAUGCUAAACAUGAUUCUAGAGCCUAUUUACAAAGCCUAGGAAACAGUUUCCUGAAACGACAGAUGUGUGCAGCCUGCUUCCUUAUUUGGAAUAGCUUGGAAAGAUCUUUCUCUUUGUUUCACCCUUCCCUUUGCACCACUGUCUUCAUCAGCUUCACUUGUUCUUUAUAGUUUGGCGUUUCCAUUAGCCCCCGAGUCAAUGACUUUUCCUUCAUCUAUCUCUAGCCAUAAAACAGUGCUUCCUACUCCUUCCUACACCUGGAUACCUUGAACUAGCAAAACUCCUAUUGGAAGAGGUACUCUUAACUGUGAUCUUGCCUCUCCCUACUGCUGUACUGGCUCUAUCUAUAGGCAGCAGCACAGUUAUCUGAGAUAAGCUGACUCCCAAGCAGCUGACCACUCAAACAACACCGCCUUCAAACCAGUGAGGAAGAAAGCGAGUAAGUGACUGCCCACCCUUCAGUAAGGAAACUUAAUUUAUGAGGAAUAUGUGAGUUGCAUUUGGAGCAACUGGAGCGCCUACAAAAGUUUCUCCAGUGAUGAGGCAUCAAUACAGAUGUUGUCUUUAGCUCUAUAUGCCAUUUAUUUGGCUAACGAUGGCAAAAAGUGUUGGGGAAAAGAAUUACACCGACCUAUCUACUACACCGAUACGUAUACAGACAUAAUGUCUGUAUUAGCCUGUUCUGAGAAUGUCCUACAAAUACACUUUGAAGGAAAAACAAAGGGUGAGGGGAAAACAAACCAAAAAGCCCCUACACUUCUGUGCCCAAGAUACGUACACUGUAAUUGUUCUUGUUAAGAACAUGAAAUCCUUGUAGUCUGCCAAACCUCUUUUCCCUAUUCCCAUCUGCACCUUUCAGUGUGCAUCAACGAAGUGCUCUUGCUUAUGGGUUUCAAGUAGUAGCAGGUGAGACCGGUUUAUAAAUUAAUUAAAAGGCCAAGAUGUCUUAACCACUAUUUGCUUCUCUUUGGACUUCUUUUUUUCAUGCUAAUACAAACUGAAUCAUAAAGGGACACAAAAUUCAUGCAACUACGUUGUUAAAAGAAAUGUGUUAGAAAAUUCUUAUUUGAACUUCCAGGUAACAAACCGAGUAAUUUCUUAGGGGAUCAUUUAAGGUGUACUGAAGACAUCUUAAAAGACAAAGCAUUGGAAUACAAUUUCUAUGUUAGUAAACAUCUGCAAAUCAAAUUUUAAUUAAAAAGUAAAUGAUAGCAUACUUCACAAGACACUUUUACAGCAGGUUUGGUUUGCGCUGCUUUUUACAGGUUUUUAAUUCCUCAGUUGUCAGUAGCUGUUUUUUUGCUGAGCCCUGUACAGAUGUAAGUGUUUGUACAAAGACUUUCAGAGUCAUAGAAUGGCCUGGGUUGAAAAGGACCACAGUGAUCAUCGAGUUUCAACCCCCUGCUAUGUGCAGGGUCACCAACCACCAGAUGAGGCUGCCCAGAGCCACAUCCAGCCUGGCCUUGAAUGCCUCCAGGGAUGGGGCAUCUACAACCUCCUUGGGCAACCUGUUCCAGUGUGUCACCACUGAGAGAACCACUGAGAGAAAAACUACCUCCAAAGAGGGAAGGAAAGCCAGAUGAAAGGCCAUUCGUCUUCAACAGAAUCAGUUCAGUCUCGGUAUUUUACAAUGGAUUAUCUUUAAUCUGUGUCUAUCUACCAUGUCGUCAGGUAUCACUUUGCCUCUUGUGUUAGCUCUUUUUACCUCUUGCUUUGGUCUAUAAACAAACUGCAAAAAAAUGAUAGGAAAGUGAUCGUUCGAGAUGAUUCGAAAUCAUUUCUUUCUUUGUGAGGUGAGACUAUGAAAUGUAUUUUCAGACGCAGUCUGUUACUGCAAGCCAGAAUGCUUCUUUGUGCAACAUUAAGCUUUCAACGUCUGUGACAUUUUUGUAAUAAACAACUGUAAUUGUACUAAUUUCAAACGACCUGGUAUCAAUUCUGUCUGUAUAAAGUGUGAGUACUUCUGUAUUCACAUUCAUAU
Long non-coding RNA from Gallus gallus (chicken), 2238 nucleotides. NCBI's taxonomy places the organism in Eukaryota, Metazoa, Chordata, Aves, Galliformes, Phasianidae. The record is from Ensembl.